RNAcentral lists this unclassified non-coding RNA (109 nucleotides) under soil metagenome. RNAcentral describes it as "partial internal transcribed spacer 1". The record is from RNAcentral.
GUGAACGCCCUCGACGGGCUUAUACUAUUCCAAACCCUGCUGUGAAACCGUGCCCUUCGGGGCUAUUUUACAAACAUGGUGUAAUGAACGUCAUAUAUCAUAACAAAAC